AAACUUGCGUUGAAGAAGAAAAGUAGCAAUGUGAAAUGCUGAAGAGAGCCGGCGGUUGGUGCGAGCCGGUGCAGGAAACAAUGUGAAUGGGCUUCUGAGCUCCGGACUGAACGAUUAGUAGGCUCCGGCGUACGUCUUACGUUAAGAAGACAGGCAGAUGAUUCUGCCGUUAAAGUGGGCUGCGAAAUGUGCAGCCAAUAAAGGUGGUACCACGGCUCCCCGUCCUUUGA
RNAcentral lists this non-coding RNA (230 nucleotides) under Domibacillus enclensis. RNAcentral describes it as "T-box sequence". It matches the Rfam family "T-box leader". Rfam says of the family: Uncharged tRNA acts as the effector for transcription antitermination of genes in the T-box leader family. T-boxes are found upstream of many aminoacyl-tRNA synthetase genes and some amino acid biosynthetic genes usually in Gram-positive bacteria. The record is from RNAcentral. Lineage: Bacteria; Bacillati; Bacillota; Bacilli; Caryophanales; Bacillaceae.